CGACUAUGUAUACUCCCUUGUACCCAGUUCUUUUUAAGUAACAACCACGUUUUCAAAUUUGUACCACAUGCCAAACCAUAUUGCAAGCCUUGUGACUGUGAACCUUGUGACUGUGCUCUGGGAUAACACUUCCAGUGGGGAAUUAACUUUGCACAUAACCAAGAAGCAGAUACAAUUGCUUUGUUUGAGUUUGAAAAUAUUUCAUAAUUUGGGUUUCCCUUUUGAGCUACAUGACUCCUCUUUCUCAUGACGAUUCCAAGGAAAUUGUGGAAUUGUUGUUCCUCAAGUGGCCUACCAAUGUGUUCGCGACAGCUAUGCAGUAGCUUUGUGAGAUGGUCCGCUAUAUUUCUGAGCUUGAAAGCCAAUGUAGAAAGCUCCCAAGCAUCAUUAGAGGUGAAGAUUCUGAAACAAUAUUGAUAUAUCAUUUGUCUAUCAUGUUAAACUUUGGAAAUUUGUAACUCACAUGACCAUCACAUGCUUUGGUAUAAAGAAAAUUUAUAAUCCCGAAGUUUUUUCUA
Cicer arietinum (chickpea) is the source of this 518-nucleotide non-coding RNA. Lineage: Eukaryota; Viridiplantae; Streptophyta; Magnoliopsida; Fabales; Fabaceae. The record is from RefSeq and is a predicted model, not a curated record.